RNAcentral lists this ribosomal RNA (383 nucleotides) under uncultured eukaryote. RNAcentral describes it as "SSU rRNA". It matches the Rfam family "Eukaryotic small subunit ribosomal RNA", at positions 587 to 972 of the family's 1831-position model. The record is from RNAcentral.
AGCUCUGCUAGCGUAUAUUAAAGUUGUUGCAGUUAAAAGGCUAGUAGUUGAAUUUCUGGUAGGAGUGAUUGGUCCAUCACAAUGUGUUGGUACCUGAUUGUCUCCGGCCAUCCUUGGAAAGAGCCUUCAUGGCAUUAAGUUGCCGAGUUGGUAAUUUCCAUCGUUUACUGUGAAAAAAUUAGAGUGUUCAAAGCAGGCUUAUGCCAUUGAAUAUAUUAGCAUGGAAUAAUAAGAUAGGACCUUGGUACUAUUUUGUUGGUUUGCGCACCAGGGUAAUGAUAAAUAGGGACAGUUGGGGGUAUUCGUAUUCAAUUGUCAGAGGUGAAAUUCUUGGAUUUAUGGAAGACGAACUACUGCGAAAGCAUUUACCAAGGAUGUUUUCA